This 502-nucleotide ribosomal RNA is filed under the name Nocardiopsis alba. RNAcentral's name for it is "bacterial SSU rRNA". It matches the Rfam family "Bacterial small subunit ribosomal RNA", at positions 118 to 620 of the family's 1533-position model. Lineage: Bacteria; Bacillati; Actinomycetota; Actinomycetes; Streptosporangiales; Nocardiopsidaceae. The record is from RNAcentral.
UGAGCAACCUGCCCCUGACUCUGGGAUAAACGGUGGAAACGCCGUCUAAUACCGGAUACGACCUUCCGCCUCAUGGUGGAGGGUGGAAAGUUUUUUCGGUCAGGGAUGGGCUCGCGGCCUAUCAUCUUGUUGGUGGGGUAACGGCCUACCAAGGCGAUUACAGGUAGCCGGCCUGAGAGGGCGACCGGCCACACUGGGACUGAGACACGGCCCAGACUCCUGCGGGAGGCAGCAGUGGGGAAUAUUGCGCAAUGGGCGAAAGCCUGACGCACCGACGCCGCGUGGGGGAUGACGGCCUUCGGGUUGUAAACCUCUUUUACCACCAACGCAAGCUCCGGGUUCUCUCGGGGUUGACGGUAGGUGGGGAAUAAGGACCGGCUAACUACGUGCCAUCAGCCGCGGUAAUACGUAGGGUCCGAGCGUUGUCCGGAAUUAUUGGGCGUAAAGAGCUCGUAGGCGGCGUGUCGCGUCUGCUGUGAAAGACCGGGGCUUAACUCCGGUU